GAUGAACGCUGACAGAAUGCUUAACACAUGCAAGUCUUUGGCGAAGCUGUGCUUGCACAGCCUAGCCAAGGCGGACGGGUGAGUAACGCGUAAGGAACUUGCCCUGCAGUCAGGGAUAACAGACGGAAACGACUGAUAAGACCUGGUAAAGUCAGGCGGACUCAUGUCCAGCCUGAUGAAAAGAGAUGCUGCAGGAGAGCCUUGCGUCCUAUUAGCUUGUUGGUGGGGUAACGGCCCACCAAGGCGAUGAUAGGUAGCCGGCCUGAGAGGGUGGACGGCCACAAGGGGACUGAGAUACGGCCCUUACUCCUACGGGAGGCAGCAGUGGGGAAUAGUGGACAAGGGGGGCAACCCUGAUCCAGCAAUUCUGUGUGCACGAUGAAGGUUUUCGGAUUGUAAAGUGCUUUCAGCAGGGAAGAAAAAAAUGACGGUACCUGCAGAAGAAGCGACGGCUAAAUACGUG
RNAcentral lists this ribosomal RNA (463 nucleotides) under uncultured bacterium. RNAcentral describes it as "partial 16S ribosomal RNA". It matches the Rfam family "Bacterial small subunit ribosomal RNA", at positions 28 to 507 of the family's 1533-position model. The record is from RNAcentral.